CCAGAGGUUACUGCUAUCGAGGUUCGACUAAGCCAUGCGAGUCGAAUGUAGCAAUACAUGGCGAACUGCUCAGUAACACGUGGACAACCUGCCCUUAGGACGGGGAUAAACCCGGGAAACUGGGUAUAAUACCCGAUAGGUCUCGAUUGCUGGAAUGCAUCGAGAUUUAAAGCUCCGGCGCCUUAGGAUGGAUCUGCGGCCGAUUAGGUUGUUGUUGGGGUAACGGCCCAACAAGCCAGUAAUCGGUACGGGUUGUGGGAGCAAGAGCCCGGAGUUGGAUUCUGAGACACGAAUCCAGGCCCUACGGGGCGCAGCAGGCGCGAAAACUUUACAAUGCGGGCAACCGUGAUAAGGGAACCUCGAGUGCCUGUACAUGCAGGCUGUUCGGGUGUCUAAAACACACCUGAAGAAAGGGCCGGGCAAGACCGGUGCCAGCCGCCGCGGUAAUACCGGCGGCUCGAGUGGUGGCCACUUUUAUUGGGCUUAAAGCGUUCGUAGCUGGGUUGUUAAGUCUCUUGGGAAAUCUGACGGCUCAACCGUCAGGCGUCUAAGGGAUACUGGCAAUCUUGGAACCGGGAGAGGUGAGGGGUACUUCGGGGGUAGGAGUGAAAUCCUGUAAUCCUCGAGGGACCACCUGUGGCGAAGGCGCCUCACCAGAACGGCUUCGACAGUGAGGGACGAAAGCUGGGGGAGCAAACCGGAUUAGAUACCCGGGUAGUCCCAGCCGUAAACGAUGCGCGUUAGGUGUAUCGGUGACCACGAGUCACCGAGGUGCCGAAGGGAAACCGUGAAGCGUGCCGCCUGGGAAGUACGGUCGCAAGGCUGAAACUUAAAGGAAUUGGC
Molecule: ribosomal RNA, 843 nt
Filed under: uncultured archaeon
Lineage: Archaea
Description: bacterial SSU rRNA
Rfam family: Archaeal small subunit ribosomal RNA
Source: RNAcentral